Molecule: long non-coding RNA, 492 nt
Filed under: Sinocyclocheilus grahami
Lineage: Eukaryota; Metazoa; Chordata; Actinopteri; Cypriniformes; Cyprinidae
Description: lncRNA (ENSSGRG00000036553.1)
Source: RNAcentral
AUAUCAAGUUGUCAUUUAACUCAUUCUUUUUUAAGUCAUUUGCCACUGCCAUUGAUGCCACGAGACACAAGCUUCCUGUGAAGAACGUGGACAUCGGAGAGGACGCAGGCCAGUUUUUAGACAAAGCUGUUGAAUGUCUGAAUCAGAGUGCACAAGUCUUGCAACACUAUACAAAGGACAUGCCCACUGAGUGUGAGGCUUCAACGGAGUGUCUUAGAGAGAUGAACAAUACAGCUAAUGAAAUCAGCCAACAGUUGACAAGGACUUUUUCGGAUCUUCUGGAGGUGUCUUCAUUAGAAAGCCGGGAGACAGUUUUGAUCCAGCAGUCACUGGAGGAAGACAAGCUCGGACAGAGCACAGCCCAGACACUCUUCUGUCCCUCCACGUCAUGAUUAUACAUUGUAUGAAUAUCACAUCGGUUUGCAAUUAAAUAAUUAAAGUAUGUAAAAAAAAAAUCAAUGAAUUGUAGGUAUUUAUUUCAUACAUUGCUAC